GAUGAACGCUGACAGAAUGCUUAACACAUGCAAGUCUUUGGCGAAGCUGUGCUUGCACAGCCUAGCCAAGUCGGACGGGUGAGUAACGCGUAAGGAACUUGCCCUGCAGUCAGGGAUAACAGACGGAAACGACUGAUAAGACCUGGUAAAGUCAGGCGGACUCAUGUCCAGCCUGAUGAAAAGAGAUGCUGCAGGAGAGCCUUGCGUCCUAUUAGCUUGUUGGUGGGGUAACGGCCCACCAAGGCGAUGAUAGGUAGCCGGCCUGAGAGGGUGGACGGCCACAAGGGGACUGAGAUACGGCCCUUACUCCUACGGGAGGCAGCAGUGGGGGAUAUUGGACAAUGGGGGCAACCCUGAUACAGCAAUUCUGUGUGCACGAUGAAGGUUUUCGGAUUGUAAAGUGCUUUCAGAAGGGAAGAAAAAAUGACGGUACCUGCAGAAGAAGCGACGGCUAAAUACGUG
Molecule: ribosomal RNA, 462 nt
Filed under: uncultured bacterium
Lineage: Bacteria
Description: partial 16S ribosomal RNA
Rfam family: Bacterial small subunit ribosomal RNA
Source: RNAcentral